Molecule: ribosomal RNA, 305 nt
Filed under: uncultured marine eukaryote
Lineage: Eukaryota
Description: SSU rRNA
Rfam family: Eukaryotic small subunit ribosomal RNA
Source: RNAcentral
CUCGUAGUUGGAUUUCUGUCGAAGACGUCCGGUCUGCUUUUUGAGCAUGUAUCUGGUUCGGCUUUGGCAUCCUCGUGGGGAACGCUUCUGUGCUUGAUUGCAUGGGGUGGUAUUCACGACUUUUACUUUGAGGAAAUUAGAGUGUUCACGGCAGGCAAGCGCCUUGAAUACAUUAGCAUGGAAUAAUAAUAUAGGACUUUGGUUCUAUUUUGUUGGUUUCUAGAACUAAAGUAAUGAUUAAUAGGGAUAAUUGGGGGCAUUUGUACUAUCGAGUCAGAGGUGGAAUUCUUGGACUUCUAUAUGAC